Molecule: ribosomal RNA, 253 nt
Filed under: uncultured bacterium
Lineage: Bacteria
Description: partial 16S ribosomal RNA
Rfam family: Bacterial small subunit ribosomal RNA
Source: RNAcentral
UACGGAGGAUGCAAGCGUUAUCCGGAAUGAUUGGGCGUAAAGCGUCCGCAGGUGGCUGUGUAAGUCUGCUGUUAAAGAGUGAGGCUCAACCUCAUAAGAGCAGUGGAAACUACACAGCUAGAGUGCGUUCGGGGCAGAGGGAAUUCCUGGUGUAGCGGUGAAAUGCGUAGAGAUCAGGAAGAACACCGGUGGCGAAGGCGCUCUGCUAGGCCGCAACUGACACUGAGACGCGAAAGCGUGGGGAGCGAACAGG